CAUGUGGUGUACCUCUCACGUCUC
RNAcentral lists this non-coding RNA (24 nucleotides) under Arabidopsis thaliana (thale cress). Lineage: Eukaryota; Viridiplantae; Streptophyta; Magnoliopsida; Brassicales; Brassicaceae. The record is from RNAcentral.